Molecule: ribosomal RNA, 736 nt
Filed under: uncultured Granulicatella sp.
Lineage: Bacteria; Bacillati; Bacillota; Bacilli; Lactobacillales; Carnobacteriaceae
Description: bacterial SSU rRNA
Rfam family: Bacterial small subunit ribosomal RNA
Source: RNAcentral
UCGAACGAGAGCGACCGGUGCUUGCACUGGUCAAUCUAGUGGCGAACGGGUGAGUAACACGUGGGUAACCUGCCCAUCAGAGGGGGAUAACAUUCGGAAACGGAUGCUAAAACCGCAUAGGUCCUUUAACCGCAUGGUUGAAGGAGGAAAAGAGGCGCAAGCUUCUGCUGAUGGAUGGACCCGCGGUGCAUUAGCUAGUUGGUGAGGUAACGGCUCACCAAGGCCGUGAUGCAUAGCCGACCUGAGAGGGUGAUCGGCCACAUUGGGACUGAGACACGGCCCAAACUCCUACGGGAGGCAGCAGUAGGGAAUCUUCCGCAAUGGACGCAAGUCUGACGGAGCAACGCCGCGUGAGUGAAGAAGGUUUUCGGAUCGUAAAACUCUGUUGUUAGAGAAGAACAAGUGCUAGAGUAACUGUUAGCGCCUUGACGGUAUCUAACCAGAAAGCCACGGCUAACUACGUGCCAGCAGCCGCGGUAAUACGUAGGUGGCAAACGUUGUCCGGAUUUAUUGGGCGUAAAGCGAGCGCAGGCGGUUCCUUAAGUCUGAUGUGAAAGCCCCCGGCUCAACCGGGGAGGGUCAUUGGAAACUGGGGAACUUGAGUGCAGAAGAGGAGAGUGGAAUUCCAUGUGUAGCGGUGAAAUGCGUAGAUAUAUGGAGGAACACCAGUGGCGAAGGCGACUCUCUGGUCUGUAACUGACGCUGAGGCUCGAAAGCGUGGGUAGCAAACAGGAUU